UGGAGAGAUGACCGAGUGGCUGAAGGUAACGGUUUGCUAAACCGUCGUACGGGUUAUACCUGUACCGGGGGUUCGAAUCCCCCUCUCUCCGU
Molecule: transfer RNA, 92 nt
Filed under: Limihaloglobus sulfuriphilus
Lineage: Bacteria; Pseudomonadati; Planctomycetota; Phycisphaerae; Sedimentisphaerales; Sedimentisphaeraceae
Description: tRNA-Ser
Rfam family: tRNA
About the family: Transfer RNA (tRNA) molecules are approximately 80 nucleotides in length. Their secondary structure includes four short double-helical elements and three loops (D, anti-codon, and T loops). Further hydrogen bonds mediate the characteristic L-shaped molecular structure. tRNAs have two regions of fundamental functional importance: the anti-codon, which is responsible for specific mRNA codon recognition, and the 3' end, to which the tRNAs corresponding amino acid is attached (by aminoacyl-tRNA synthetases). tRNAs cope with the degeneracy of the genetic code in two manners: having more than one tRNA (with a specific anti-codon) for a particular amino acid; and 'wobble' base-pairing, i.e. permitting non-standard base-pairing at the 3rd anti-codon position.
Source: RNAcentral